GUGGGGCAAAUUAUUGGAACAAUUCGGGCGACAGCCUGGAUUCAAGCAUUGGCGCGGUGGUGUGGAUGCAUGUCCGUUACGAGAUCGUCAAAUGCUCUUCAAUCAGGAGCGAAAUACUGCCCGGCCUACUACCGGGCGGGGCUGACGGUACUGAGGAAUAAGGCACGGGCUAACUUCGUGCCAGCAGCCGCGGUAAUACGAAGGGUGCAAGCGUUAAUCGGAAAUUACUGGGCGUAAAGCGUGCGUAGGCGGUUCUUUAAGUCUGCUGUGAAAUCCCCCGGGCUCAACCUGGGAAUGGCAGUGGAUACUGGAGAGCUAGAGUGUGAUAGAGGAUGGUGGAAUCUCCCGGUGUAGCGGUGAAAUGCGUAGAGAUCGGGAGGAACAUCAGUGGCGAAGGCGGCCAUCUGGAUCAACACUGACGCUGAGGCACGAAAGCGUGGGGAGCAAACAGGAUUAGAUACCCUGGUAGUCCACGCCCUAAACGAUGCGAACUGGAUGUUGGUCUCAACUCGGAGAUCAGUGUCGAAGCUAACGCGUUAAGUUCGCCGCCUGGGGAGUACGGUCGCAAGACUGAAACUCAAAGGAAUUGACGGGGGCCCGCACAAGCGGUGGAGUAUGUGGUUUAAUUCGAUGCAACGCGAAGAACCUUACCUGGCCUUGACAUGUCUGGAAUCCUGCAGAGAUGCGGGAGUGCCUUCGGGAAUCAGAACACAGGUGCUGCAUGGCUGUCGUCAGCUCGUGUCGUGAGAUGUUGGGUUAAGUCCCGCAACGAGCGCAACCCUUGUCCUUAGUUGCCAGCACGUAAUGGUGGGAACUCUAAGGAGACUGCCGGUGACAAACCGGAGGAAGGUGGGGAUGACGUCAAGUCAUCAUGGCCCUUACGGCCAGGGCUACACACGUACUACAAUGGUCGGUACAGAGGGUUGCAAUACCGCGAGGUGGAGCCAAUCCCAGAAAGCCGAUCCCAGUCCGGAUCGAAGUCUGCAACUCGACUUCGUGAAGUCGGAAUCGCUAGUAAUCGCAGAUCAGCUAUGCUGCGGUGAAUACGUUCCCGGGCCUUGUACACACCGCCCGUCACACCAUGGGAGUGAGUUGCUCCAGAAGCCGUUAGCCUAACCGCAAGGAGGGCGACGAC
This 1135-nucleotide ribosomal RNA is filed under the name Dyella marensis. RNAcentral describes it as "bacterial SSU rRNA". It matches the Rfam family "Bacterial small subunit ribosomal RNA", at positions 351 to 1457 of the family's 1533-position model. Lineage: Bacteria; Pseudomonadati; Pseudomonadota; Gammaproteobacteria; Lysobacterales; Rhodanobacteraceae. The record is from RNAcentral.